ACGGGAGGCAGCAGUGGGGAAUAUUGGACAAUGGAGGCAACUCUGAUCCAGCGACGCCGCGUGAGUGAAGAAGUAUUUCGGUAUGUAAAGCUCUAUCAGCAGGGAAGAUGAUGACGGUACCUGACUAAGAAGCCCCGGCUAACUACGUGCCAGCAGCCGCGGUAAUACGUAGGGGGCAAGCGUUAUCCGGAUUUACUGGGUGUAAAGGGAGCGUAGACGGUAAGGCAAGUCUGAAGUGAAAUGCAUGGGCUCAACCCAUGAACUGCUUUGGAAACUGUCAAACUAGAGUGCAGGAGAGGUAAGUGGAAUUCCUAGUGUAGCGGUGAAAUGCGUAGAUAUUAGGAGGAACACCAGUGGCGAAGGCGGCUUACUGGACUGUAACUGACGUUGAGGCUCGAAAGCGUGGGGAGCAAACAGGAUUAGAUACCCUGGUA
Molecule: ribosomal RNA, 434 nt
Filed under: uncultured Lachnospiraceae bacterium
Lineage: Bacteria; Bacillati; Bacillota; Clostridia; Lachnospirales; Lachnospiraceae
Description: bacterial SSU rRNA
Rfam family: Bacterial small subunit ribosomal RNA
Source: RNAcentral